GACGAACGCUGGCGGCGUGCUUAACACAUGCAAGUCGAACGGAAAGGCCCUGCUUUUGUGGGGUGCUCGAGUGGCGAACGGGUGAGUAACACGUGAGUAACCUGCCCUUGACUUUGGGAUAACUUCAGGAAACUGGGGCUAAUACCGGAUAGGAGCUCCUGCUGCAUGGUGGGGGUCGGAAAGCUUCGGCGGUUGGGGAUGGACUCGCGGCUUAUCAGCUUGUUGGUGGGGUAGUGGCUUACCAAGGCUUUGACGGGUAGCCGGCCUGAGAGGGUGACCGGCCACAUUGGGACUGAGGUACGGCCCAGACUCCUACGGGAGGCAGCAGUGGGGAAUAUUGCACAAUGGGCGGAAGCCUGAUGCAGCAACGCCGCGUGCGGGAUGACGGCCUUCGGGUUGUAAACCGCUUUCGCCUGUGACGAAGCGUGAGUGACGGUAAUGGGUAAAGAAGCACCGGCUAACUACGUG
RNAcentral lists this ribosomal RNA (468 nucleotides) under uncultured bacterium. RNAcentral's name for it is "partial 16S ribosomal RNA". It matches the Rfam family "Bacterial small subunit ribosomal RNA", at positions 28 to 507 of the family's 1533-position model. The record is from RNAcentral.